CCUACGGGAUGCUGCAGUGAGGAAUAUUGGUCAAUGGACGAGAGUCUGAACCAGCCAAGUAGCGUGAAGGAUGACUGUCCUAUGGGUUGUAAACUUCUUUUAUAUGGGAAUAAAAUGUUCCACGUGUGGGCUUUUGUAUGUACCAUAUGAAUAAGGAUCGGCUAACUCCGUGCCAGGAGCCGCGGUAAUACGGAGGGUCCGAGCGUUAUCCGGAUUUAUUGGGUUUAAAGGGGGGGUAGGUGGAAUGGUAAGUUAGUGGUGAAAGUUUGGGGCUCAACCGUAAAAGUGCAGUUGAAACUGGCAGUCGUGAGUACAGUAGAGGUGGGCGGAAUUCGUGGUGUAGCGGUGAAAUGCUUAGAGAUCACGAAGAACGCCGAUUGCGAAGGCAGCUCACUGGACUGCAACUGACACUGAGGCUCGAAAGUGUGGGUAUCAAACAGGAUUAGAUACCCUUGUAGUC
This 460-nucleotide ribosomal RNA is filed under the name uncultured bacterium. RNAcentral's name for it is "partial 16S ribosomal RNA". It matches the Rfam family "Bacterial small subunit ribosomal RNA", at positions 338 to 795 of the family's 1533-position model. The record is from RNAcentral.